This is a long non-coding RNA of Astyanax mexicanus (Mexican tetra), 260 nucleotides long. RefSeq lists it as uncharacterized. Lineage: Eukaryota; Metazoa; Chordata; Actinopteri; Characiformes; Acestrorhamphidae. The transcript is spliced from 3 exons. The record is from RefSeq and is a predicted model, not a curated record.
CCCAUCUGUGUUUAUUUGCAACAAGAAGCAUAAAUCCUGGAGAAGAGAUUACAUACAAUUACGGUGACUCUGAGUGGCCAUGGAGAUGCAAGAUAGUCAAUGAAAGAGACCAACUGCAUCCCCAAGAGCAGACGUCCAACACAAUAUCUGAGGCUGUUCCUGCACAAGAAGCUUCUAACAGUGGCAUAGUGCCUGCCCUGCCUCCUGUUAUAGAGAUGGAACCGGUAUAAUUUUAUUCAUCUUUUUAUUAUAACAUGUUU